This 253-nucleotide ribosomal RNA is filed under the name uncultured bacterium. Its description in RNAcentral is "partial 16S ribosomal RNA". It matches the Rfam family "Bacterial small subunit ribosomal RNA", at positions 524 to 776 of the family's 1533-position model. The record is from RNAcentral.
UACGUAGGUGGCAAGCGUUGUUCGGAUUCAUUGGGCGUAAAGGGUGCGUAGGUGGCGCUGUAAGUCGGGUGUGAAAUUUCGGAGCUUAACUCCGAAACUGCAUUCGAUACUGCGGUGCUUGAGGACUGGAGAGGAGACUGGAAUUCAUGGUGUAGCAGUGAAAUGCGUAGAGAUCAUGAGGAAGACCAGUGGCGAAGGCGGGUCUCUGGACAGUUCCUGACACUGAGGCACGAAGGCCAGGGGAGCAAACGGG